GCCUGGCCCUAAAUCUUGAUGCUCGAUAUUACCUGAGCAUCCGCCCGAGAACUACGAGCACAAACGCUUAAAACUCUAAGGACUUGGCGGUGUUCCAAACCCACCUAGAGGAGCCUGUUCUGUAAUCGAUGAUCCACGAUAUUACCUGACCAUUCCUUGCACGAAUCAGCCUAUAUACCGCCGUCGCCAGCCCACCUUUCCUGACAGCCCAACAGUGGACGCAAUAGCCUAACCCGCUAGCAAGACAGGUCAAGGUAUAGCCCACGGAAUGGAAGCAAUGGGCUACAUUUUCUARACUAGAACAUACGGAUAAGGGUAUGAAACUGCCCUUGGAAGGCGGAUUUAGCAGUAAAGAGAGACAAUCGAGCCCUCUUUAAGCCGGCUCUGGAGCACGU
RNAcentral lists this ribosomal RNA (395 nucleotides) under Turdus lherminieri lawrencii. Its description in RNAcentral is "Cichlherminia lherminieri lawrencii partial 12S ribosomal RNA". It matches the Rfam family "Bacterial small subunit ribosomal RNA", at positions 794 to 1384 of the family's 1533-position model. The record is from RNAcentral. Lineage: Eukaryota; Metazoa; Chordata; Aves; Passeriformes; Turdidae.